Molecule: ribosomal RNA, 253 nt
Filed under: uncultured bacterium
Lineage: Bacteria
Description: partial 16S ribosomal RNA
Rfam family: Bacterial small subunit ribosomal RNA
Source: RNAcentral
UACGGGGGGGGCAAGCGUUGUUCGGAAUUACUGGGCGUAAAGGGCUCGUAGGCGGCCAACUAAGUCAGACGUGAAAGCCCCGGGCUCAACCUGGGAACUGCAUCCAAAACUGGCAAGCUAGAGUACGGUAGAGGGUGGUGGAAUUUCCUGUGUAGCGGUGAAAUGCGUAGAUAUAGGAAGGAACACCAGUGGCGAAGGCGACCACCUGGACUGAUACUGACACUGAGGUGCGAAAGCGUGGGGAGCAAACAGG